UUCGGAUCGCAGGCUGCAACCCGCCUGCGUGAAGUUGGAAUCGCUAGUAAUCGCGGAUCAGCAUGCCGCGGUGAAUACGUUCCCGGGCCUUGUACACACCGCCCGUCACACCAUGAGAGUCGGGAACACCCGAAGUCCGUAGCCUAACCGCAAGGGGGCGCGGCCGAAGGUGGGACUGGUGAUUGGGGUGAAGUCGUAACAAGGUACC
This 208-nucleotide ribosomal RNA is filed under the name uncultured bacterium. RNAcentral describes it as "partial 16S ribosomal RNA". It matches the Rfam family "Bacterial small subunit ribosomal RNA", at positions 1292 to 1500 of the family's 1533-position model. The record is from RNAcentral.